GACGAACGCUGGCGGCGUGCUUAACACAUGCAAGUCGAACGGAAAGGCCCUGCUUUUGUGGGGUGCUCGAGUGGCGAACGGGUGAGUAACACGUGAGUAACCUGCCCUUGACUUUGGGAUAACUUCAGGAAACUGGGGCUAAUACCGGAUAGGAGCUCCUGCUGCAUGGUGGGGGUUGGAAAGUUUCGGCGGUUGGGGAUGGACUCGCGGCUUAUCAGCUUGUUGGUGGGGUAGUGGCUUACCAAGGCUUUGACGGGUAGCCGGCCUGAGAGGGUGACCGGCAACAUUGGGACUGAGAUACGGCCCAGACUCCUACGGGAGGCAGCAGUGGAGAAUAUUGCACAAUGGGCGGAAGCCUGAUGCAGCAACGCCGCGUGCGGGAUGACGGCCUUCGGGUUGUAAACCGCUUUCGCCUGUGACGAAGCGUGAGUGACGGUAAUGGGUAAAGAAGCACCGGCUAACUACGUG
RNAcentral lists this ribosomal RNA (468 nucleotides) under uncultured bacterium. RNAcentral describes it as "partial 16S ribosomal RNA". It matches the Rfam family "Bacterial small subunit ribosomal RNA", at positions 28 to 507 of the family's 1533-position model. The record is from RNAcentral.